UAGGGAAUCUUCGGCAAUGGACGAAAGUCUGACCGAGCAACGCCGCGUGAGUGAAGAAGGUUUUCGGAUCGUAAAACUCUGUUGUUAGAGAAGAACAAGGACGUUAGUAACUGAACGUCCCCUGACGGUAUCUAAUCAGAAAGCCACGGCUAACUACGUGCCAGCAGCCGCGGUAAUACGUAGGUGGCAAGCGUUGUCCGGAUUUAUUGGGCGUAAAGCGAGCGCAGGCGGUUUCUUAAGUCUGAUGUGAAAGCCCCCGGCUCAACCGGGGAGGGUCAUUGGAAACUGGGAGACUUGAGUGCAGAAGAGGAGAGUGGAAUUCCAUGUGUAGCGGUGAAAUGCGUAGAUAUAUGGAGGAACACCAGUGGCGAAGGCGGCUCUAUGGUCUGUAACUGACGCUGAGGCUAGAAAGCGUGGGGAGCAAACAGG
This 429-nucleotide ribosomal RNA is filed under the name Gemmatimonadota bacterium. RNAcentral's name for it is "Gemmatimonadetes bacterium partial 16S ribosomal RNA". It matches the Rfam family "Bacterial small subunit ribosomal RNA", at positions 355 to 776 of the family's 1533-position model. The record is from RNAcentral. Lineage: Bacteria; Pseudomonadati; Gemmatimonadota.